CCUUGACAUACUAAGAACUUUCCAGAGAUGGAUUGGUGCCUUCGGGAACUUAGAUACAGGUGCUGCAUGGCUGUCGUCAGCUCGUGUCGUGAGAUGUUGGGUUAAGUCCCGNAACGAGCGCAACCCUUUUCCUUAUUUGCCAGCGGGUCAUGCCGGGAACUUUAAGGAUACUGCCAGUGACAAACUGGAGGAAGGCGGGGACGACGUCAAGUCAUCAUGGCCCUUACGGCCAGGGCUACACACGCGCUACAAUGGUCGGUACAAAGGGUUGCUACCUCGCGAGAGGAUGCUAAUCUCAAAAAGCCGAUCGUAGUCCGGAUCGCAGUCUGCAACUCGACUGCGUGAAGUCGGAAUCGCUAGUAAUCGCGGAUCAGAGUGCCGCGGUGAAUACGUUCCCGGGCCUUGUACACACCGCCCGUCACACCAUGGGAGUUUGUUGCACCAGAAGUAGGUAGUCUAACCGCAAGGAGGACGCUUACCACGGUGUGGCCGAUGACUGGGGUGAAGUCGUAACAAGGUAAGCGUAGAUGA
Molecule: ribosomal RNA, 531 nt
Filed under: uncultured bacterium
Lineage: Bacteria
Description: bacterial SSU rRNA
Rfam family: Bacterial small subunit ribosomal RNA
Source: RNAcentral